This 459-nucleotide ribosomal RNA is filed under the name uncultured bacterium. Its description in RNAcentral is "partial 16S ribosomal RNA". It matches the Rfam family "Bacterial small subunit ribosomal RNA", at positions 338 to 795 of the family's 1533-position model. The record is from RNAcentral.
CCUACGGGUGGCAGCAGUGAGGAAUAUUGGUCAAUGGCCGGAAGGCUGAACCAGCCAAGCCGCGUGAGGGAGGAAGGCGCAGAGCGUCGCAGACCUCUUUUGCCGGGGGACAAAAGGCCGGACUCGUCCGGUCCUGCGGGUACCCGGAGAAAAAGCAUCGGCUAACUCCGUGCCAGCAGCCGCGGUAAUACGGAGGAUGCGAGCGUUAUCCGGAUUUAUUGGGUUUCAAGGGUGCGUAGGCGGAAGGUUAAGUCAGUGGUCAAAUGUCGGUGCUCAACACCGGCCUGCCGUUGAAACUGGUCUUCUUGAGUGAGCGAGAAGUAUGCGGAAUGCGUGGUGUAGCGGUGAAAUGCAUAGAUAUCACGCAGAACUCCGAGUGCGAAGGCAGCAUACCGGCGCUCAACUGACGCUGAGGCACGAAAGCGUGGGGAUCGAACAGGAUUAGAUACCCCUGUAGUC